This 467-nucleotide ribosomal RNA is filed under the name uncultured bacterium. RNAcentral describes it as "partial 16S ribosomal RNA". It matches the Rfam family "Bacterial small subunit ribosomal RNA", at positions 28 to 507 of the family's 1533-position model. The record is from RNAcentral.
GACGAACGCUGGCGGCGUGCUUAACACAUGCAAGUCGAACGGAAAGGCCUCUUUCGGGGGGUACUCGAGUGGCGAACGGGUGAGUAACACGUGAGUAACCUGCCCUUGACUUUGGGAUAACUUCAGGAAACUGGGGCUAAUACCGGAUAGGAGCUCCUGCUGCAUGGUGGGGGUUGGAAAGUUUCGGCGGUUGGGGAUGGACUCGCGGCUUAUCAGCUUGUUGGUGGGGUAGUGGCUUACCAAGGCUUUUACGGGUAGCCGGCCUGAGAGGGUGACCGGCCACAUUGGGACUGAGAUACGGCCCAGACUCCUACGGGAGGCCGCAGUGGGGAAUAUUGCACAAUGGGUGGAAGCCUGAUGCAGCAACGCCGUGUGCGGGAUGACGGCCUUCGGGUUGUAAACCGCUUUCGCUCAUGACGAAGCUUUGUGUGACGGUAGUGGGUAAAGAAGCACCGGCUAACUACGUG